GUUUGUGAGGCGCAAUCAGUUAGCGCGUUCAACUGUUAACUAAAAGGUUGGUGGUUCAAGCCCACCCAGGGGCG
Molecule: non-coding RNA, 74 nt
Organism: Danio rerio (zebrafish)
Lineage: Eukaryota; Metazoa; Chordata; Actinopteri; Cypriniformes; Danionidae
Source: Rfam